AGGGCAAGUCUGGUGCCAGCAGCCGCGGUAAUUCCAGCUCCAAUAGCGUAUAUUAAAAUUGUUGCAGUUAAAAAGCUCGUAGUUGAAUUUCUGCUGCAUCGCGUCUUCUUUUUGAUGAGUUGGCGUAUUGCGGCUUUUUUCGGAUGAUUUUUUUGUCCGGAUGAUUACUUUGAGAAAAUUAGAGUGCUCAAAGCAGGCUUUUGCCUUGAAUAGUUUAGCAUGGAAUAAUAAAGUAGGACUUUGGUUCUAUUUUGUUGGUUUUAGGUACCAAAGUAAUGGUUAAUAGGAACAGUUGGGGGCAUUCGUAUUUAACUGUCAGAGGUGAAAUUCUUAGAUUUGUUAAAGACGAACUACUGCGAAAGCAUUUGCCAAGGAUGUUUUCAUUAAUCAAGAACGAAAGUUAGGGGAUCGAAGACGAUCAGAUACCGUCGUAGUCCUAACCAUAAACUAUGCCGACUAGAGAUUGGAGGUCGUCAGUUUAUACGACUCCUUCAGCACCUUGAGAGAAAUCAAAGUCUUUGGGUU
This 525-nucleotide ribosomal RNA is filed under the name Theileria luwenshuni. RNAcentral describes it as "SSU rRNA". It matches the Rfam family "Eukaryotic small subunit ribosomal RNA", at positions 552 to 1113 of the family's 1831-position model. Lineage: Eukaryota; Apicomplexa; Aconoidasida; Piroplasmida; Theileriidae. The record is from RNAcentral.